This 460-nucleotide ribosomal RNA is filed under the name uncultured bacterium. RNAcentral describes it as "partial 16S ribosomal RNA". It matches the Rfam family "Bacterial small subunit ribosomal RNA", at positions 338 to 795 of the family's 1533-position model. The record is from RNAcentral.
CCUACGGGAGGCAGCAGUGAGGAAUAUUGGUCAAUGGGCGCGAGCCUGAACCAGCCAAGUAGCGUGAAGGAUGACUGCCCUACGGGUUGUAAACUUCUUUUGUAAAGGAAUAAAGUGAGGCACGUGUGCCUUUUUGUAUGUACUUUAUGAAUAAGGAUCGGCUAACUCAGUGCCAGCAGCCGCGGUAAUACGGAGGAUACGCGCGUUAUCCGGAUUUAUUGGGUUUAAAGGGAGCGUAGAUGGGUUGUUAAGUCAGUUGUGAAAGUUUGCGGCUCAACCGUAAACUUGCAAUUGAUACUGGCAGCCUUGAGUACAGGUGAGGUAGGCGGAAUUCGUGGUGUAGCGGUGAAAUGCUUAGAUAUCACGAAGAACUCCGAUUGCGAAGGCAGCUUACUAAACUGCCACUGACAUUGAUGCGCGAAAGUGUGGGUAUCAAACAGGAUUAGAUACCCGGGUAGUC